GAAAAGAACCCCGGGAGGGGAGUGAAAUAGAACCUGAAACCCUGCACUUACAAGCUGUGGAAGCACAUUUCUUGUGUGACCGCGUACUUUUUGUAGAACGGGCCAACGAGUUACGUUAAGUAGCAAGGUUAAGCACUUAAGGUGCGGAGCCGUAGCGAAAGCGAGUUUUAACUGAGCGUUCAGUUACUUGACGUAGACCCGAAACCGGGCGACCUACCCAUGAGCAGGAUGAAGCGAAAGUAAAAUUUCGUGGAGGUCCGAACCCACGAGCGUUGAAAAGCUCGGGGAUGACUUGUGGGUAGCGGUGAAAUUCCAAUCGAGCCCGGAGAUAGCUGGUUCUCCCCGAAAUAGCUUUAGGGCUAGCCUCAAGGUGAGAGAUACGGAGGUAGAGCACUGAAUGUCCUAGGGGGUAUUGCACCUACCGAAGACUAUCAAACUCCGAAUGCCGUCAUCUUAUACUUGGGAGUCAGACUGUGGGUGAUAAGAUUCAUAGUCGAAAGGGCAACAGCCCAGAUCGUCAGCUAAGGUCCCUAAAUGUAAGUUAAGUGGUAAAGGAUGUGGGAUUGCACAGACAACCAGGAUGUUGGCUUAGAAGCAGCCACUCAUUCAAAGAGUGCGUAAUAGCUCACUGGUCGAGUGAUCCUGCGCCGAAGAUUUCCGGGGCUAAAACUUACUACCGAAGCUACGGCAUCAGUAAUGAUGGGUAGGGGAGCUUCCCAUACGGGUUGAAGCAUGACCGUAAGGACAUGUGGACAGUAUGGGAGUGAGAAUGUUGGCAUGAGUAGCGAGAUGUGGGUGAGAAUCCCACAGGCCGUAAACCCAAGGUUUCCAGGGGAAGGUUCGUCCGCCCUGGGUUAGUCGGGACCUAAGCUGAGGCCGAAAGGCGUAGGUGAUGGACAACAGG
This 904-nucleotide ribosomal RNA is filed under the name Clostridioides difficile. RNAcentral describes it as "partial 23S ribosomal RNA". It matches the Rfam family "Bacterial large subunit ribosomal RNA", at positions 516 to 1429 of the family's 2925-position model. The record is from RNAcentral. Lineage: Bacteria; Bacillati; Bacillota; Clostridia; Peptostreptococcales; Peptostreptococcaceae.